This 464-nucleotide ribosomal RNA is filed under the name Vreelandella stevensii. Its description in RNAcentral is "partial 16S ribosomal RNA". It matches the Rfam family "Bacterial small subunit ribosomal RNA", at positions 338 to 795 of the family's 1533-position model. The record is from RNAcentral. Lineage: Bacteria; Pseudomonadati; Pseudomonadota; Gammaproteobacteria; Oceanospirillales; Halomonadaceae.
CCUACGGGGGCAGCAGUGGGGAAUAUUGGACAAUGGGCGAAAGCCUGAUCCAGCCAUGCCGCGUGUGUGAAGAAGGCCUUCGGGUUGUAAAGCACUUUCAGUGGGGAAGAAAGCCUUGGGGCUAAUACCCUCGAGGAAGGACAUCACCCACAGAAGAAGCACCGGCUAACUCCGUGCCAGCAGCCGCGGUAAUACGGAGGGUGCGAGCGUUAAUCGGAAUUACUGGGCGUAAAGCGCGCGUAGGCGGUCUGAUAAGCCGGUUGUGAAAGCCCCGGGCUCAACCUGGGAACGGCAUCCGGAACUGUCAGGCUAGAGUGCAGGAGAGGAAGGUAGAAUUCCCGGUGUAGCGGUGAAAUGCGUAGAGAUCGGGAGGAAUACCAGAGGCGAAGGCGGCCUUCUGGACUGACACUGACGCUGAGGUGCGAAAGCGUGGGUAGCAAACAGGAUUAGAUACCCCAGUAGUC